UGCUUUGUGAAGGCCUUCAGCCUUUUAUGGCGCAGCUAACGCAUUAAAUUGACCGCCUGGGGAAUACGGGCGCAAGGUUAAAACUCAAAUGAAUUUGCGGGGGCCCCCCCCAACGGGGGAACAUGUGGUUUAAUUUCAAGCAACCCGAAAAACCUUACCAGGGCUUGGCAUCCAUUGAACUUUCUAAAAAUAAAUUGUUGCCUUCGGGAACAUUAAGACAGGGGCUGCAUGGCUGUCCUCAGCUCGUGGCGUGAAAUGUUGGGUUAAGUCCCGUAACGAGCGCCACCCUUGUCCUUAAUUACCAACACGUAAUGGUGGGCACUCUAAGGAAACUGCCGGUGACAAACCGGAGAAAGGUGGGGAUGACGUCAAGUCAUCAUGGCCCUUACGGCCUGGGCUACACACGUGCUACAAUGGUCGGUACAGAGGGUUGCCAACCCGCGAGGUGGAGCUAAUCCCAUAAAACCGAUCGUAUUCCGGAUCGCAGCUCUGCAACUCCCCUGCGUGAAGUCGAAAUCCCUAGUAAUCGCGAAUCACAAUGUCGCGUGAAAUACUUUCCCGGGCCUUGUACACACCGCCCGUCACACCAUGGAGUUGGGUUGCACCAAAAGUAGCUAGUCAAACCUUCUGGAGGACGGUUACCACGGUGUGAUUCAUGACUGGGGUGAAGUCGUAACAAGGUAACCGUAGUC
RNAcentral lists this ribosomal RNA (692 nucleotides) under Pseudomonas azotoformans. Its description in RNAcentral is "bacterial SSU rRNA". It matches the Rfam family "Bacterial small subunit ribosomal RNA", at positions 818 to 1507 of the family's 1533-position model. Lineage: Bacteria; Pseudomonadati; Pseudomonadota; Gammaproteobacteria; Pseudomonadales; Pseudomonadaceae. The record is from RNAcentral.